This 84-nucleotide transfer RNA is filed under the name Cyrtodactylus sadansinensis. RNAcentral's name for it is "tRNA-Cys". The record is from RNAcentral. Lineage: Eukaryota; Metazoa; Chordata; Lepidosauria; Squamata; Gekkonidae.
GCAAAACACCAAAGUGCAAAUUUGGGAAGCAAGCACUAAAAAGGUGCUCGGGGCUUCUCCCGUUUAAGUAGAGACGGGAGAAGG